GUCCCUGUAGCGCAAUGGAUCACGCGUUGGAAUUCUAAUCCAAGAAUCGUGGGUUCGAAUCUUACCUGGGAUG
This is a non-coding RNA of Trichonephila clavata, 73 nucleotides long. Lineage: Eukaryota; Metazoa; Arthropoda; Arachnida; Araneae; Nephilidae. The record is from the annotation of a GenBank genome assembly.